ACUCUCUCAGCUCUGCAUGGUUGCACGUUUUCACACGUGUGACUCUCGUAAUGGGGAGAGAGAGAAAGGAUCUCCUCAAGAUCUCAGAUAGGUCUCCUGGUGGCCAGUCUUUCCUUGAGGGGCACAACAGAC
This is a small nucleolar RNA of Kogia breviceps (pygmy sperm whale), 132 nucleotides long. RefSeq annotates it as small nucleolar RNA SNORA64/SNORA10 family. The record is from RefSeq and is a predicted model, not a curated record. The transcript has a single exon. Lineage: Eukaryota; Metazoa; Chordata; Mammalia; Artiodactyla; Physeteridae.